This 286-nucleotide unclassified non-coding RNA is filed under the name Hevea brasiliensis (rubber tree). The record is from RNAcentral. Lineage: Eukaryota; Viridiplantae; Streptophyta; Magnoliopsida; Malpighiales; Euphorbiaceae.
AGUAAUCUUGUUGAACUUCGUAUGAGUUCUAGCCAAGUCAAACAACCGUUUAGUGGAGAUAAGCCUCUUGGAAAGUUGAAAUUAAUGGACCUCAGCUACACUAGUAACCUGAUCGGGAUUCCGGACUUGUCUAGUAUUGCCCCAAAUCUCGAGUUUUUAUAUUUGACUGGAUGUUGGAGUUUGGUUGAAAUUCCCUCUCUUCAAAAUCCUCUUCGAGAUUUGAAAUUAAUGGACCUCAGCUUCUCUCAUCAACUGAUCAGUAUUCCAGACUUGUCUAGUAUUGCCC